RNAcentral lists this small RNA (127 nucleotides) under Salmonella enterica. RNAcentral's name for it is "partial RtT sRNA". It matches the Rfam family "RtT RNA". Rfam says of the family: This family represents a bacterial cis-regulatory element known as RtT RNA. Lineage: Bacteria; Pseudomonadati; Pseudomonadota; Gammaproteobacteria; Enterobacterales; Enterobacteriaceae. The record is from RNAcentral.
CUCCGUACGGGGAAGGAUGAGAAGCUUCGACUAAGGUUCGAUUCGAGCGAAAGCGAGAAAGCGUUGCCGCAGGCAACGACCCGAAGGGCGAAACGCGCAGCGCUGAGUCAUCCUUCCCCCACCACCA